RNAcentral lists this ribosomal RNA (484 nucleotides) under uncultured bacterium. Its description in RNAcentral is "partial 16S ribosomal RNA". It matches the Rfam family "Bacterial small subunit ribosomal RNA", at positions 29 to 507 of the family's 1533-position model. The record is from RNAcentral.
AUUGAACGCUGGCGGCAUUCUUUACACAUGCAAGUCGAACGGCAGCGCGGGCUUCGGCCUGGCGGCGAGUGGCGAACGGGUGAGUAAUACAUCGGAACGUGCCCAGUAGUGGGGGAUAGCUCGGCGAAAGCCGGAUUAAUACCGCAUACGACCUGAGGGUGAAAGCGGGGGAUCUUCGGACCUCGCGCUAUUGGAGCGGCCGAUGGCAGAUUAGCUAGUUGGUGGGGUAAAGGCCUACCAAGGCGACGAUCUGUAGCUGGUCUGAGAGGACGACCAGCCACACUGGGACUGAGACACGGCCCAGACUCCUACGGGAGGCAGCAGUGGGGAAUUUUGGACAAUGGGCGAAAGCCUGAUCCAGCAAUGCCGCGUGUGUGAUGAAGGCCUUCGGGUUGUAAAGCACUUUUGGCGGGAACGAAAAGGACUGUGCCAAUACCACGGUUCGAUGACGGUACCCGCAGAAUAAGCACCGGCUAACUACGUG